AUUGAACGCUGGCGGGAUGCUUUACACAUGCAAGUCGAACGGCAGCACGGACUUCGGUCUGGUGGCGAGUGGCGAACGGGUGAGUAAUAUAUCGGAACGUGCCCAGUCGUGGGGGAUAACGUAGCGAAAGCUACGCUAAUACCGCAUACGAUCUACGGAUGAAAGCGGGGGAUCGCAAGACCUCGCGCGAUUGGAGCGGCCGAUAUCAGAUUAGGUAGUUGGUGAGGUAAAGGCUCACCAAGCCGACGAUCUGUAGCUGGUCUGAGAGGACGACGAGCCACACUGGGACUGGGACACGGCCCAGACUCCUACGGGAGGCAGCAGUGGGGAAUUUUGGACAAUGGACGCAAGUCUGAUCCAGCCAUUCCGCGUGCAGGACGAAGGCCUUCGGGUUGUAAACUGCUUUUGUACAGAACGAAAAGGUCUCUAUUAAUACUAGGGGCUCAUGACGGUACUGUAAGAAUAAGCACCGGCUAACUACGUGCCAGCCGCCGCCGUAA
This 500-nucleotide ribosomal RNA is filed under the name uncultured bacterium. Its description in RNAcentral is "partial 16S ribosomal RNA". It matches the Rfam family "Bacterial small subunit ribosomal RNA", at positions 30 to 523 of the family's 1533-position model. The record is from RNAcentral.